GGCACGGUGCACACUGACAUCCAGGGCCACUAGAAAGUCUACUGCUAGGGCCUACUGCAGCCCUAACCAGGCUCUCCCUGAGUUGGGAGGUGAGUUCCCAGAGAACAGUCCUCCACACCUUGACAGACUGGGCAGGAAAGUCCCCAAAUGGGCAAAUAUAUCCCUCACCAGGGCUUGGAACAAACUCCUGGUCACUCAGUUUGCUCAGUAAAUGGCUAUCUUUCUUGUCAGGAGAAGUGCUCGCUCCUUGUCUGAACACAUGUAGACUCCAUGUC
Mus musculus (house mouse) is the source of this 275-nucleotide non-coding RNA. Lineage: Eukaryota; Metazoa; Chordata; Mammalia; Rodentia; Muridae. The record is from Rfam.